RNAcentral lists this ribosomal RNA (379 nucleotides) under Escherichia coli. RNAcentral's name for it is "partial 23S ribosomal RNA". It matches the Rfam family "Bacterial large subunit ribosomal RNA", at positions 1291 to 1672 of the family's 2925-position model. The record is from RNAcentral. Lineage: Bacteria; Pseudomonadati; Pseudomonadota; Gammaproteobacteria; Enterobacterales; Enterobacteriaceae.
CGAAUGCUGACAUAAGUAACGAUAAAGCGGGUGAAAAGCCCGCUCGCCGGAAGACCAAGGGUUCCUGUCCAACGUUAAUCGGGGCAGGGUGAGUCGACCCCUAAGGCGAGGCCGAAAGGCGUAGUCGAUGGGAAACAGGUUAAUAUUCCUGUACUUGGUGUUACUGCGAAGGGGGGACGGAGAAGGCUAUGUUGGCCGGGCGACGGUUGUCCCGGUUUAAGCGUGUAGGCUGGUUUUCCAGGCAAAUCCGGAAAAUCAAGGCUGAGGCGUGAUGACGAGGCACUACGGUGCUGAAGCAACAAAUGCCCUGCUUCCAGGAAAAGCCUCUAAGCAUCAGGUAACAUCAAAUCGUACCCCAAACCGACACAGGUGGUCAGGU